UGGUGGAGUGAUUUGUCUGGUUAAUUCCGUUAACGAACGAGACCUCGACCUGCUAAAUAGUUCGGCGAUUCCUUUCUGGAAUCGAGCGUGACUUCUUAGAGGGACUAUCGUGUGUGUAGCCGAUGGAAGUUCGAGGCAAUAACA
Molecule: ribosomal RNA, 144 nt
Filed under: uncultured eukaryote
Lineage: Eukaryota
Description: partial 18S ribosomal RNA
Rfam family: Eukaryotic small subunit ribosomal RNA
Source: RNAcentral